AUACAGAGGGUGCGAGCGUUAAUCGGAAUUACUGGGCGUAAAGCGCGCGUAGGCGGUCUAUUAAGUCAGAUGUGAAAUCCCAGGGCUCAACCUUGGAACUGCAUCUGAUACUGGUAGACUAGAGUUUUGGAGAGGGAAGUAGAAUUUCAGGUGUAGCGGUGAAAUGCAUAGAGAUCUGAAGGAAUACCAGUGGCGAAGGCGCCUUCCUGGCCAAAAACUGACGCUGAGGUGCGAAAGCGUGGGUAGCAAACGGGAUUAGAAACCCUAGUAGUCC
Molecule: ribosomal RNA, 274 nt
Filed under: uncultured bacterium
Lineage: Bacteria
Description: partial 16S ribosomal RNA
Rfam family: Bacterial small subunit ribosomal RNA
Source: RNAcentral